Molecule: long non-coding RNA, 13542 nt
Filed under: Xyrichtys novacula (pearly razorfish)
Lineage: Eukaryota; Metazoa; Chordata; Actinopteri; Labriformes; Labridae
Source: RNAcentral
UUAGAGCUGGGUUUGAGUAUUAACCGCACUAUAUAUGUUCUUCUCUUGUUCAUGGAGGUUUCUCUGCGGUUUCCUUCCACAAAGAGAGACAUGCAUGUCAAGUAUCAGAAGGCAAAACACAGACCUCACAGAGGCGACUUUAUUAAUUUCCAACAAAUGAUGUGUGAAACUGUGAGAUAUCAAUCACACACAACAUACAUCUCUCACACACUCUAUUGUGUAACAGGUUGCGGUUUAACAAAAUGUUUCUUUUAGCUGAAGUGAAUCUAAGACCAGCUGUUGAGCUCUGACUGUUGAAGCCUCUUUCUGCAGAUGCUUCACGCAAACACUGUCUGAAUAUUUCCUGAAUAGACAUGAAGUCACUGAAAGGCAAUGCACCACUGCUUUAAUGGAGCCAAUCACAUUCCUGACAAGGAACGCUCCCUCUCCUGGCAGAGCUCUGCAGUGCAAUCCAGUGUGUCAAAGAAAACGCCUGGUGACAUCUGAGGAUGUUUAACCCUGCAGGGCUCAUUGUUGCCAAAUUUGCUCCAUCUUUGCAGCGCUCUAAAAGAUAGAGCUGUCUCUUUUACAUUUCACAGACCCCGCAGAUGUCAGCCUCUUGUCUCAUCACAGGAAUCGAUUAUAGAGUCCGUUUGCCAUAAUGUGAUAUAUGCAUAUUAAAGUAAAGCCUCAAAGGCAACAGAGGGCUGGCUCUUUAAUAGAAUCCAGCUAUCAUCAAGAGUGAAUUCCUAGACCUGGAUGUAAUGGAAAACUGCCUGUGUGAUGUUCGCAAACCUCUCGUGUGGAGUCUAAAAGGCUGCUGGCUGCUGUUUCCAGGCUGCGGUCACAGGGGUGUUAUGGGUAGUCAACCUCAACACUCCUACCCUCUCUCUCUGUCAGGGGGUUGAAAGCAGGUUGAUGUCACCAAAUACACACAUUGCUGCAAAGUUAUGGCUCCAUCAUCAGGAAAGCAAUGACAGCUUCAUAAAGUUUGAUUUAAUCAGACAGGAGAAAUUGAACCAUUUUAUGACAUAAUCUACAACUCUGUGAUGAUAUAUCUUGAAUGUGAUGUGCAGCGGUGCUGAUUAGAAUUCAUCCCUUUGCGUGCGAUCCUCCAGAAUCUAAUUUAGAAAGCAGCUUGAAACAGAAAAAUCUUUAUAACGCAGCCACCUGCCUGUGUAUGCGUGUUUGUGUGUGCUCAUGUGCAUGUGAGUCUGUCUGCCUGCCUGCCUGUCGGGGUAUCUAUUAAUUUUCUUCUGUUUUCUGUAGUUCUAUUACACAAUGGCUGGCGCUGCAAGUUUAAUAUGUUGUACAUCUUUUUGUCUCAUUCCUUGCAGUGGGUUCAAUGUCAUCUCUUUGUUGUCUCGAAAUGCAAUCAAUGAAGGUCUUCCUACCCCAUCCACUGAAAGUCAAACCCAACCUAUCUGGAGCUACUCUGAGGCAUUCUGUCAAAUCUAAGAAUCAAGCCCAUAUUUCUUGGAGUCAUGUUGUGCUAGUCCUCACUCCAGUUUGUGUGCGCCCUCGCACCUAAUAUACAAAAUAUCUAUUGAAAUAUGCAUGAGGCCCAUGAUGCCUGCACUAAAAAUACACUCAAAUAGGGAAUACAUUGACAGCUCUGUUAUUGAGCUCUCCUUGAGAUUCCUCUGUCACAGCAGCCACGGAUCGCUCUCAAGACUCAUGUAUUAUCAAAAGCACGCAACACCACUCCCUCUCUCUUCCCCCAACACACACACACACACACACACACACCACACACACACACACACACGAUCAUGCUCUUCUUUUUAUACUCACUACUACUCUCUAUCUGUUUCUUUUUCUCCAUCACUCAGUCACAUAUGCGUUUUUUUUCCUCAGUUAACUUUUGAGACACCUUUAAUUUCAAAACAGUAGAAGUUUUAUAAGCUUUAAAAAAUUAGCCUCAUUAUUGCCACACGUGUCUCCUAUAAAACACCUCAUUAAAUGGGUUACAUACAUUUACAAGUUUGUACAUAGGCACUCAGAGUCAGACUAGCUGGCUAACCUAACAAACUAAUGUCAAAUUUUACUUUAGCUAGCUGAUGCAAAACGAGUUCAGAAAAGCCAAAAUUUUGCAGAGUUAGCUGGCAAAUGCAGCUCAAAGACAUACAUUCAUUCUCAAGCUGGUUAGCUAAAAAUGGUACAUGGUACAUAAACUGAGUUACUCAACAGAGUAAAAUUACUGUUUUUAUAUCUACGAUUAGUCUUGAACUCACUGCAGAAAUUGUUUUCAAAUUUUCAGUACGACUAACUUUUUAGUUCUGCUGGCAUUGGCCCUACUUGGCAAUUUGACGAUAUUUACCCACACACUCUCUGAUCUAGUUGGUCCAACUAUCAUUUUUGUGAAUAUUUAAUGCAGAAAAUGUAUAAGACUUUUUCCUCACUUCUGUAUGUCAUGAUAACAGAGCUGCCAAGCGUCACGCUUUGAGUGUGACAGUCACGCAGUUUGGCCCAUUCUCACACCACACGCCACACUUGACAUUUCUCACGCUUAUGUUUCCCCAUUCAAUACUCUGUAUUUAUUUUUUUCACGAUAAUAAACUUUGCUUGCCGUAGUUCGAGUAACUCUGAUUGACUGACCAAGAUAAUGAAUCCCAGACCAAUCCAUCAGUCCUUUGUGCCUAAAUCUAACCAACCACGGAAAGCACUACGCAACAUAAACCAAUCAGAAGCAAAGCAGGUCUUGGAAAAUAAAUUGACAGUUUAUUGACGAAUAAAUGUAUUUUGUCAAAAUUCUUGUUACAAUUUUCAUUAAUUAAUUAAGACUAGCAUUAGGAGGCCUCAGUGCAGGAAGAGCAGCUGGCAUGGAAGUGAGGACAUCAGUCUUAAGGUGUAAAUCGACGUUAAAAAAGGCCAAAAUUUUUACGCCGCCGGCCGGACACAUCAUGACACUAAAGUCUCAUUCUUGUCAUUUUCUGAAACUUGGCAGCCCUGUGAUAAGUCGUCAGAACUCCCCAUAGAAGCUUUAAGAAAGAACUACGCACACAAACUUAGCAGUAGAUUUAACCUCUGCGACCCAACCCUGAGGCUCACAGCUCUCUGAAACACCCCCCACAGCACUUUGAGUAUAAAUGUAAAGAGCAGUUAAACCAACCACCUUCAAAGUAAUUUCAACAAUUAUUCCUAUAAUACAGCCAAGGCCCCUUUUUUUACUACCUCCGAUGAUCUAGAGGGCAGAGUUUUAUGCCACAUUAGCCGCUCCUGUACCAUAAAGAACAUAGAGGGGAGAAAUUGGCCACCUGCAUACAUGAGGACCCUUUUUAUUUGACAUAAUCUGACAUUAAAGCAGGGUUCAUAUCCUACUAACCGCCUUGUGUAACUGGUCCUGUAAAAACAUUAUUUUCAAUAUUAUUGCAGGAAACUCUGCUAUUGUUCUGUCCACGCUGAUAAAAGUGGAGGUGCUUUACAGUUUAGGCUAAAGGGCCAAAUUGGGGGGCAUCAGUACCAGCUACACCUCUGUAAUUGGGUAAAUUUCAAGGAGGUGCUAUGAAAUACACCCCUGCAACUUUAAUAAGUUCCAGAGUCCGGGGCUCCAGGUUGCUGCUCCCAAGGUGCUGGUCUGAGUUGGCUAACAUUUAUCACAUAAACAUCUAACACUACUCCUGUUAAAGCAGACAAAUGCCUUCCUGCUCUACAAGCCCUUUCCUUAGCCAUCAGAAUCAGGACAACCAAUUCAGCUUUAAUAGUUAUCUAUGGAGUCCCUCGCAUGCAAUGAACACCCACAUUUAUUUCUCUGCUUUCUCCCAAUGAGGGUAAGUGGAUCAAUUAGUGCAGACUACAAGUUCAGCAUCUUUACACAUAGUAUCAAUUGUUAAGUUGAGCAACAGCAGGUCCCCAGAUUAUCUCAGAUCUGUACCUCCCCUCGCUCUCAUCCCUCCCGCUCUCCCUUCUUCCAGAUCCAAAGCUAGCCUCAUUACAAAUGAUCCUGUGAUACACACAACCUUGGCACACACCUUCGCGCUAAUGGCUCACAGAUUGAUUUUUAAUUAGCAGCACUUUUGGAUGGUGGCCAGCUCAAAUGGACUUUUAUGAAAAACUAAUCACCUUUUAGCCUUAAGUGUCAAAAGGUGUAAGUAGAAGGUUAAAAGUCUUAACUAUAUCUGAAUAGUCACAAUAAAUAAAAACUCAUAAACCUCAUUAGUCACAUGAUUCUAACAUUUGUAAGACUUGUUCUAGUGUCUUUGAGUUGAAAAAAAAAAUAAGGGAGUUUCACAGAGUACAAAGACGGACUUCUUAAAGUUCUGCACUGGUGCAGACCACAGAGGAGAUGGAAAGUGGGUCAGGUCAGAUUUAGUCAAAAGGGUUGCUGAAAAUUUCUGGCCAAUGAAACGUCAGUUCACAUUAAACAAGCAGGUCAGCUGAGACCAGAACUGUGGACCCAGUGAGCUCAUCUGGCACAAGUUCACUAUCAAAGUGUACCCAGCUUUGAUAAACUGGGGCAGUAUUUACGAUGGCAAAAAGAGACAUGGACCACAUCUGUAAUGUUUUAGGCCCAGAUGUGCACACUUUGAUUCUCCUGGUGAAGCACAUGGAGUCUGUGGCAGAGGUGUACAAAGGAUUGGUUUAUUUUUAACCGGUUAUUGUCAUAUCCUCAGUAGUACUAUUUCUAUUGUUAUAGAUUGUAUAAUUCUUUCUACACCAUUUUUUAUCAUUUAUGUAAAUUAUUUCUGCUGUAAAUUUCUAGUGCUGAAUUCUCGCAGGGCAAUUUAAUGCAAACAUGAUUUACAGGCAGUUUACAAUCCUGAGCGCCCUUAAUUUAGAAAUAGGGAUAUCUAUAGAGAUGUUGCUCUAUGUCCUCUCUGGUCAUCAGCAUUUAAAUAUAUUAACACUUUUUAAAAUUUUUACUGAUAUUCUAUUUCUUCUCAUAUUGCUAUACUGUAAUUACUGUUGUGUUUUGUCUGCUUUUAUACAAAGAAUAGCUGUUCAUGACUGCCCUUCUCACAAUGACCCCCAUGUCUUUCUCUCUUUUUUUCCUGAAAACUAUUUUUGGUGGACUCCAUCCUUAGCAAAAUUAAAGAGAAAGAGUUUCAGUUCUAAAUGAAAAAAGUCAAAAAGGUUAAGUGACUGAACAGUGUCGUAUGUACAGUAUAUGUUUUGAAGAAGUAAUAUUGAGCUAUAUCUGGUCAUCAGGUUCUAGGCUGAAACACUCCCCCUGUUGGUGAAGCCACACUGACCUUCCAGGACAAAAAACGGCUCCAAUGAAUAUAAGUAUGAUCUUUCAUUUGUUAAGUUUUUACCAUCAAAAACAGUUAACAACAACUUUUCUCUUCUUCCUCAUCUUCUAACGGGAUAACUUAACUCUACCACUCACUAACAAUUAUUACUAGUUUGUCUGCUCUGUACUAUGGUAGAAACAUGUAGUUCAAGAUAGCACCCUCUGUGGAGAGGAGCCUGCUCCAAUGUUGACAUAUAAAUCAUCUUUUUAAAUAAACAAAACAAAAUAAUUUUCUGAUUCGGCUGUUUAAACAUUUAAAUAUCUGCUUAAUGCUGCUGAACAUUGCACACUGCAUCUUUAAAAAAAAUAUAUGUUAAAAAAGGAAACUGGAAAGUACAGUGGAGAGUUGAGCUGUAUGUUUAUUUACUCUCUUACUUUACAUUUAUAUUACCAGAAAUGACUUGACUAAUGCUUAAUGACUAGAAAUGACUAAUGCUAAACUGAAGUUACAUUUAAGACCAAACAACAAAUUAUGACAUCAAAUUAUGAGUUUAUACUGCAUUUACUCAAGAAACCCUAUUUUUAAAAAGUGUAUCUUCUUUUUAUUCUACAUGUGUUUAACAUUUCGAUAUGUAUAUAUACAACUGAAGCUUGAGUUUCAAUGUUUGCUUACAUUGGCAUGAGAUCAAAAACCUUCUUGGGACACAUGAGUUGGCACAAACAACCAAAUCAUGCUCUUUAUACAAAUAAAACAGUCCUUGUGGUCGCAUGGUGAACACAUGUUCAACUCUGCAGGAAUAAAUGAUAAAUCUUACAACCAAAAUGCAAGCUGUAUAAAAAUAUACAGUUUAUACUGCGUAUUGCAUCAUAUGUGUUCACAUAUGUUUGCAUUACUUUACCUUAUUUCUGUGUGUGUGUGUGUGUGUGUGUGUGUGUGUGUGUGUGUUUGUGUGUGUGUGUGUGUGUGUGUGUGUGUGUGUGUGUGUGUGUGUGUGUGUUUACCUUGGGUGGUAUUCAUAGUUUCCUGGGUGUUCAGGGCUAACACACAUUUGCAGCAGCUCCACACACACACACAUUCACACAUCUGACCUAACAAUCCACUCAACAGUAAUUUAUCGGUGCGAUCCAUCAUUAUCAUGUUUUAUUAUGGCCACCGUUGGAGAUAUAAUUCACAAAUAGGCACGUGCUGUACGGAUGACAGUGAGGGAGAGGGAUGUCCUUUACCUUCGUCCUCUGCCAGGAGCCUUCAGGAGUCUCUGUGGUCCUACAUGCAGGACACCAGGCUCUGAAUGGGCAGGGAGGCUGGGGGUCUCUAGAGUGGGAGCUUGCCCUGUUAGCCCGCUGCAUUGUGGGCCAGCAGGACUCCCAUUAUGAGCCAAAGAGAGAAAGUGAACCAGAGCAACGGCAAAGCGGUGUGGGUGCCAUGUCACAUGACUGCGUUUGUAUUCGGCAGCCAUAACUCACUGCCGGUGCGUGGGGAUUGAUCCCAGGCCGGACACUCCCCGGAGGAGUCCUGGCACUCAGCUGAGUUUGAUCCCAUAGAUUAAUGCAAUAGGGAUUCCUGGUCCAGGCCUUUGUCUCCAGCCAAACACUUACAACCCCAGAAUUUGUAUCCAGCAAAGGUUGAGUCCCAUGUUUAUUUGGGUAAUGAAUUGCUGUAAUUAAUGCACCUAUUGAUUCUCCCUCAGUGUCUCCUACAAAGGCCAGUCCGAUUUCUAAUUUAAAGGGAGCGGGAGUGUUAGCAAGAGGAUGAGGGGGGAAAACGGGAGGAGAGCCCAGUAUAGGCAAAACAAUUGCACUAUGUGCUGGCAGAAUGAGAGUGUAAUUGUUCAAUGAAUCACAUUUGAAUACAUUCAAUUAAAUCUUUCAAGUGCAGGGCGUCUGUGCAUGUGCUGUUAUAUCACUUUGGUUUGUCCCUCUUGUGUUGUAAUAAAAAUGUAAAUCCUUGGAGGGCAUCUGAGAGCGGCUGAGGACGUUUGCCAGGUAGCGUCUCCGAGCUGCGGUGUCACGCUAAUAACCACAAUGCAAUUUUCUCACACAAACAGGCAGGAGUGCAUUAGCAUAUAAUCCUCGAAUUAUGACUAUUCUUGUUUUCAUCACUGUGCCCAUAAAGGCAAAGUAAAAAAUGCUCAUAGAGGAAAUUUCUGAGCAGUUUUAAUAUAUAAGAGGUUUCCAGCUAGCAAUUUGUACCAUAAUGAAAAUGUAACAUUCGUUUCAGUCAUGUGUGUGUGCGGGUGUGUUUGUGUGUCUUUUCUCUCUUGCUCUUGAUCUGAGACCUUCGCUGGGCUCCUUCAAACGCGGUCUACGUCCUUCCCCUUGCCGUGGGGCUGUGUGCUAGUGCCCUGUGUAAACACCUGGUCACCUCUGCUGUGCUACGUCUGACCGCAGAACAAUGAACAGCCAGCUGCUCCAUCUAUUAUUGUUUAUCCAGGUUCACCUCAAGAAUUGCAAUCCCCCCCCUCUCCUCUUCUCUGCCCCUCCCCUGUGAGUAAUUACAAGAAAAUGAGCCUUUGACCUUUGAUGUAUAUUGGAAAAAAACUUUAAGCGCAAUAUUGUCAAUGUGUGUGUAUUGAUCACAACUGUAAUUACUACUAAACACCUCCUGAGGUGGGUGCUUGUACUGUUUGAAAGAAGUCUGCUGCAGUGUAAUAAAUUACAUGGUAAAGCACAGAUAAGUCCAAUCAUGAGCCAGUCUAUUAGAUUUGUUUUUUCCUAGCAUUAAACGUGUUAUUUAACUUGCUUUGAAAUUCAAAGAGAGCUCUUGAUUGUGUGAGUAACAACAAUGAAACAGGGCUAGUUACCCAACUCAUUAAUAACACACUUUAAGUAAAUCAUAGCCGGCCAGUUGAGUCUAUUUCUCGGUUUUCACCAUUCUAACAACAGUGAUGAUGAAAAAUGAUUCCUUCCAGCCUCCUAGAUUUUCUAAGAACCUAUGGCAUGCCUUAUUAAAGACAAAAUAGGUAGAAGACUAAUUAAGCAGACCAAAUAGGAAUGACGGCAUGCCCAACUGCCAGAGCCAAGUAAGGGCUUGAAAAAUGGCUCCUCUGCUAUUUCAAUUAAUCAGUUGUAUUUUGCUUAAUUUUGUUUGACGUUGGCACAGGAAAUGUCCUCUGGGAGUAUCUGUCCUUUGACCACUAAUGCUUUAGUAAUUCUUCUAUCAGUAGGAACCGUGAUUGAAACAAUCGAGUGUGUGUCUGAGUGUGUGUGGGCACUUUCUUUUGUGUGCAUAUCCACAUUUUCACUGCUUACAGUGAAUAUAUGCACCUGUACGUAUUUGAGGAACAGAGCAGUGAGCGUCAGCCUUUCAUUCAUUCAUUUAUGGCACGUUCCUCUUUUUUUCCCUCCCCCCCUUGUAGGUUGAUUGCAAAGCCCACACAACUGAGAGUGGGACCUGAUUAACCUUACAGUGACUCCAGAAGCAUGUGACCACCGCUGCUUCCCCAACGCCCAGGAAGGAGAUGUUGAGCUUAACCUGUGCUACAGUGAUGAAUUAACAAUAGAGCAAUUCAAUGCCCCAGUAAUUACCAAACACUUUGGACACAGGAGCAUUUUUCAGCCCUGCCACACAGGUUUUUGUUGGUAUUGGUGGCUUUCACCUGGAAUCCUGGGGCUCUUUGCUCUUCCUAACUUUGUUUUCUCUGACGCAGAUUAGAUCUGCCACCCCAUUACAGAUUCAUUUUCCUAAUUUUUCAUGUCUGCGCCGCGCCCCAUCUGCACAGGCCUGAUAAUUGUGGGGACCAGCCCUGGUGAUUAACAUCAGCAGAAUUAAUUACGCCCGCCAUUAAGGCUCCAGGUUGCACACAAUGAUCAAGAGAAAUUAACUUUCUCCCAGGCCCCUAAAUCAUCUCACCUUCAAGUGGAGUGAUGGCAAAGAGACAGGCCGGGAGUCCUGGACCCUGCUCGGCACCUUCUAAACCAAACAUGAGGUGCGCAUCCCGCACCCGCACCGUUUCCCACCGAGGAGAUUAUAGCCAGGGCUGAUGGGUAUCAAUUACGCCACCUUAUGUGGUGGGAUGAGCGAGGGGUGUCCGGGGUCUGGUGACUAAUGGAGCUGGGUUGGAGCCACCCUGCAGCAGGAGACCAGAGGAGCUGACUGCUUCUCUGGCCAGGGAGCAGCCGCCAGAUGCUGAGGGGGCUCUGAUCAGCGGCCUGACACACACAGGUAGAGAUUGGCACAGAACAUUUGACUGUGCACUAUGGGGUGGGGUGUCCAUGUGAUUGUGGGCUACAUAGGUGAUGUAGCAAAAGACUUUUUCACCUGAGCGAAGACGUCUGGCCACAGACAGUGUAUUCUCUUAGCAAGUAUAAAACUUCACCUAAAAAAGAAAGACGAAAUUUGAAUUUAUGUUUAGUUAGCACAUUCAAGGAUGGGAUAUUUUGAUUGUCUUGCAGCUUGGACGAUAUCCGCAGAUUGUGGCCCCCUUUGAGAGAGAGUGAUGUGUUUGUAAGCUAUGCUAAUAGAGCAGGCCCCGUGCCCCCGCAGCAGGGAGAACAGUGGUAAUGUCAGGAGGAGAUAAGCAAAUUGCGUCUGCAUCAUAUUGACUUGUCAAGGUUAAGCAGUGAGAGCAGGGGGAGGAGUAAGAGCUCCAAAAACUCUCUGUCUCUCCCACUUCCUUUACUACUUAGAAUAUAUGUUGGAAGCAGGAAGAGAAGCUGAAAAAGAGAGUAAGAAGGAGGAGGGUAUAGCUUAUUUAACCUCCGAUGACAGUCAGUGUUGAGAUAGUGAUCACACAGAGCAAACAACAGACACACAUCAGUACAGGGAGGGUUUGGCUCUCUGCUCUCGUUUACACUGAUUUGAUUUAGCUCCACGGGAUCUAAUUAAGCUCAGAGUCGAGCCUCUUUGGAGUUUCAGCAGCCAUAUUGUGAAUGCCAGGCUUUGAGAAAUGGCCACAAGCGAUCAAAAUCUGUGUAUGUGUUUUUAUUAACACACAUCAUAGUGAAAGAAUAACGGCUGUCAGUGGAGGGGGGGGGGAAACGGAUAAUAAAACAUGAUGAUCGUUAUGCAUAAGGGGACAUGUGAAUUUUGAUGACAGCAAAUGCCAUGUGUGUUAAAAAAAAACAAUAACCAAACAGUAACUGUUAUGGCUUUGCCAAGUUGUCUCGCACAAAAAAAAAAAAAAGUGAAAAUUGCUCUAAAAAGAAAAACACCAGCUCUGCCUGAGGUCCAUCCCAUGGUGAUUGUCACAGAGCUCUAAUUAGCUGGAGCAGUUUUGCUUGAAUUCAGGGUAUAAUCCCCUGGAUGAAGUGCAGUCAGCAUCUUUUUCUUUUCCUAAAAGCACGAGAGGUGCAGUAUCAUCAACUCCAUCUUCGCUCCAACACUGCCUCUGGAUGAUUUAAUAAGGUUAAAAGACUAGUCAGCAAUUACCCCCUGCUCAGAGGAGGAAAACUCUGAAGCACAAUCGCAUUACAGCUGUAGACAAAUGCCAGGCACUACAAACACAAAGAAAGCAGCGCACUUUGCCUUCUAUUUUUUUAAUAAUACAUAUUCACUUUGUUAAAAACUUCUUCUAAAUCUCGAUUAUCCAGGUGUCUUUGUGUCUGUUCCAGAGCUUUGUAACGGUCCGACUUGAGACAGUCCAGAGAGUGUCAUAGAGUGACAUUUACUGCCUCUGCUGUGGGGAAACAGGUAAGCAGAGCACACCAUCUACAAAGUAGUCCCCUUUGACACCAGCACUCUACAAAUCAGGGCUGAAGGGCAGGCCAGGCCGGGUGAGGGGAGGGCGCUGACACACAGAGGUCCUUUAGAGUUCCAGCAUGGCCCAGGAAUGUGGCAGAACAAGCAGACGUCUGGGAUUUGUCUGGCACCAUGUUUGAUUUUUACUAACCUCAACAUGGGACAACUCAAGGGGAGCGAAGUGUCUGGUCAUGGCCUGUCCCACUGAACUAACCCCAUACCUGCUUUACAGUGAUAAAAGUUUCAACCUUGAGAAGUGCUCGUGGGGGGUUUCCUCGCUAUUGAAAUUAGUCCUCCUAGUUGCACUUAUUAGAUAAUACUUCCUGUAUUAGUGAUAGGAGGCAGAUUUACAGCUCUCCGUGGUGGGCGACUCGCUCUAACAUGAGUCGUGUUAACUCUGCUCAUUAAAUAGAGGAUGUCAUCACUCCACGCCACCGCUGGAUCUAACAUGUCACACAUAUCCUCCAUAGGCCGGCCUGUGUCCACCCUCUGUCCAUAACAUCCUCUAAAUCUGUCAUUGCCGCCUGAAGCAGGGUCCCACAAUUUGACCACACCGCCCAUACACGCAGGUUUAUACGUGAGUGUGGCAGGCACAUGUGGAGGGAAAAAUGCAGGUGUUUGUGUGGACGGAUGUGUGGGACAGCAGCAGGGCCGUCCACAUUGGGAGAGGUGUGGGUUCAUUACAGACCCUGCUCUGUGCGUGUACAUGGGCCAGAUAAGCAGAACAGGACAAGAUAAGGGAGCGAGGCCGGCUGCAGCAAAGUGCAGCCUGAUAUCCUGAUGCCUCCACCAGAUGAAACAGGGUUCAGCCUCUCCCUGAUUCUUUACUCUAUUGUUCACCCAAGAAAGCACUUUUUAACAAACUAUUCCCUGUUUGGUUCAAAUCAAUGCAGGAACAAACUGCUGAAGCUGCAGGCUUUGUGCUGCAUGUAAUUACUAUAAGAAAAGCAUUGAAUUGAAGAAAAAAGUUACUGGACAAAAACAGUAUUUUGACCUUACCGUCUUAAUUUAACAUUUGCAUCAUACUGAAUCUGUGCUGAUGCAUUAUUUUAACUGAAUAUACCAUUACAUGCCAAAUAUCUCUAUUGCAGAAAAUCUGGUACACUCCUCAUAUGCAGUACUGUGCAUAACAAAGUUACAAUGAGAAGAAGCUUUUCACUUAUUGGGUCUCAGUGUUAUAAACAUUUGCAUGAGAAAACAGCGAAGGGCUUUCAGAUCAGGUUCAACCUCAUGCUUGAGGCUCCCUCCAAAGUUUUGUUGAAGCAUUGCAUGCGAUUCAUUUAUCAAAGCAUCUACAGACAUCAAGAAAUAAAAGUGGGGCAAUGAAAGGGGUUCAAAGUUGUGAAACUUGAUUGUCUUAAUGUAAAAUUCUGACCUUAAAAAAUGAAGAAAUAACUAGUUUUAAUGAAGAUAAUUUGCAAGGUUGGUAAAAACAAUAACAAGUCUGUAUAUAUGAUUUAUUUUCAGUACAUACAGAUUAUUUUAACUUGGGGAUUGUUGAAUUAAUUCCAUGUUUCGACCUCUGGGAGUAGCUUACUCACAGCAGCUAUUUGAGCAGCUCCCUAAAACAAUCAGAGCCCUUUGAAACUAACUCUACCCCCUGAUUGGAAUUUUCUCUCAUGUAUGUUUAUUGUGUGUUUUAUGAGUUGAAACUGGAUCUUUAUAAAGUCUAAAAUGUGCAUUAAAAUGCACUGGUAGUAAUCAUUUCUGUAACUGGAUAAAAGGCCGUUGAGGAUUAGCUUGGGUCCUCUUGCAAAAUGACCCAUGCCAGCACCGACUAUUAUACUUCAUUAGUCACUGACCCCCGGGACCAGGCAGGCCUUAUGCUUACUCUUUUUUUAAAUGAGUAUCUCCUCAUAGAAAACACUACAGAAAUAUGUUUAUCUGUGUACUCAGAACACGUUUCAAUGCGUCUGUAGCUAUUUUUACUUUCUGUGGUGUAGAAGUCCAUGCUUGCGUCCACCAUGUGCAUUUUUUGUGUGUGUGUUCAUGUGUGUAAACCAAUAUUGAAUCACCAGGUGUAGAGGUCAUAAUUCAGCAGCCUCGUAGUGAUGCAGAUGAUGUUUACUGUAUCCAAGUGGUGCCAUUAGACAUCAUGUCUGCACAACUUUACCCGUUGCCUCUCCACCCAUAGAUUGCUCCUCUCAUCAUCAACAGUGCAAUCAUUCUCAGUGAGAGUAAAGCACAGGGGAGAGGAGAGGAGCCGGCCCGCCAAGAUGGAUGUGUGUUAUUGUUUGUGGGAUGACAGUGUGUUUCAAUCAGCUCCUCUGUGCUCUAAUCCCAGGUAGAGCUCUUGAAGUGCUGAGUCAGUUACUGCCUCAUCGAUCCAUCACAGUGGGUUAGUAGUGGGCAGGUGUACUCCCGGGCUCCCAGGAGAGCGAGGAAACACCUGCCCUGCACUGCUCGGGACUUCAUCAUCCCGCCAUUCCUUUGUCUCCUUCUGCCGGGAGCUCAACGUCGGGGCCACAGAAAAACUGUGAAAGCAGCACUUUUGUGGUCGUUUGUUGCCCGUACACAAAAAUUAAAAGAAGGGGAGAGAUGGUUUUCCCUUGCCUCCCACACCUACUCCCCCCCUCCUUCAGUUUUCUCUCACCCAGGAAGAGGGGACACACUCUGAAUGGACCGCACACAACACAACAGACACUACAGCCUCCCAGCAUUUAAUAGAGAGCAGCCAUGCAGGGUAAAGCACCAAAACACAGUCCCCAAAUCU